UACGUAGGGGGCUAGCGUUGUCCGGAAUCAUUGGGCGUAAAGCGCGUGUAGGCGGAAGCGCAAGUCCGGUGUGAAAGCCCCCGGCUCAACCGGGGAAGGUCGCUGGAAACUGCGCUUCUUGAGGGCGGCAGAGGGAAGUGGAAUUGCUGGUGUAGCGGUGAAAUGCGUAGAGAUCAGCAGGAACACCCGUGGCGAAGGCGGCUUCCUGGGCCGCGCCUGACGCUGAGACGCGAAAGCGUGGGGAGCGAACGGG
Molecule: ribosomal RNA, 253 nt
Filed under: uncultured bacterium
Lineage: Bacteria
Description: partial 16S ribosomal RNA
Rfam family: Bacterial small subunit ribosomal RNA
Source: RNAcentral